UAAGACGAACCGUCCGAACGUUAUUCGGUAUCACUGGGCUUAAAGAGUUCGUAGGCGGCCCGACAGGUGAGGUGUGAAAUCCCUCGGCUCAACCGAGGAAUUGCGCUUCAAACCGUCAGGCUUGAGGGAGAUAGAGGUGAGCGGAACAGAUGGUGGAGCGGUGAAAUGCGUUGAUAUCAUCUGGAACACCGGUGGCGAAAGCGGCUCACUGGAUCUUUUCUGACGCUGAGGAACGAAAGCUAGGGUAGCGAACGGG
Molecule: ribosomal RNA, 256 nt
Filed under: uncultured bacterium
Lineage: Bacteria
Description: partial 16S ribosomal RNA
Rfam family: Bacterial small subunit ribosomal RNA
Source: RNAcentral